GGUGAACGCUGGCGGCGUGCCUAACACAUGCAAGUCGAUCGGAGCAGCAAUGCUUAGAGGCGAACGGGUGAGGAAAACGUAGUAACCAACCCUUUAGACUGGGAUAGCCACUGGAAACGGUGGGUAAUACCGGAUAAGCUCGAGAGAGGAAAGGCAGAGAAGCGCUAAAGGACGGAACUGCGCCCCAUCAGAUAGUUGGUGAGGUAAAGGCUUACCAAGUCAAAGACGGGAAACCGACGUGAGAGCGUGUACGGUCACAAGGGCACUGAGAGACGGGCCCUACUCCUACGGGAGGCAGCAGUGGGGAAUAUUGGACAAUGGACGAAAGUCUGAUCCAGCGACGCCGCGUGGAGGAAGAAGUCCUUCGGGAUGUAAGUUCUUUUAUAUGUGAGCAGUGCUUCUUAUAUUAACAGUAUGGGGAGAGAGAGUAUUAGCAUAUGAAUAAGCAACGGCUAACUCCGUG
This 463-nucleotide ribosomal RNA is filed under the name uncultured bacterium. RNAcentral's name for it is "bacterial SSU rRNA". It matches the Rfam family "Bacterial small subunit ribosomal RNA", at positions 28 to 507 of the family's 1533-position model. The record is from RNAcentral.